AAUGUCCUGAAGUGUUCGUUAAGGAUUUAUAAUUCAACCUACAAAUUGACCUUGGGAAUUCGGGUUCAUCUAUUGGAUGUCAUGCCUCCUUAUGGAGGAAGACAGAAUUAGUGACAGAGUACCCCCCUAUCUAUGAUAGGGUGUGAAUUAUAUCCUGACGGCAUGUCGGGAUUUUU
RNAcentral lists this non-coding RNA (176 nucleotides) under Peptostreptococcaceae bacterium. RNAcentral describes it as "6S RNA". It matches the Rfam family "6S / SsrS RNA". Rfam says of the family: E. coli 6S RNA was the first non coding RNA to be sequenced, but its function was unknown until recently. It consists of 184 nucleotides that fold into an extended hairpin structure with a large single-stranded internal bulge. Lineage: Bacteria; Bacillati; Bacillota; Clostridia; Peptostreptococcales; Peptostreptococcaceae. The record is from RNAcentral. RNAcentral also lists the same sequence under 1 other name.